Molecule: ribosomal RNA, 189 nt
Filed under: uncultured bacterium
Lineage: Bacteria
Description: partial 16S ribosomal RNA
Rfam family: Bacterial small subunit ribosomal RNA
Source: RNAcentral
ACGCUCGACACCUACGGAGGCAGCAGUGGGGAAUAUUGCACAAUGGGGGAAACCCUGAUGCAGCGACGCCGCGUGGAGGAAGAAGGUCUUCGGAUUGUAAACUCCUGUUGUUGGGGAAAAAGAGGAUGGUACCCAACAAGGAAGUGACGGCUAACUACGUGCANNCGCGAGUAUNGCGGCGUGNGAGAG